GCCUUUGUAGCUCAGUUGGUAGAGCAGGGGACUGAAAAUCCCCGUGUCGAUGGUUCGAUUCCGUCCGAAGGCACCA
This 76-nucleotide transfer RNA is filed under the name Eubacteriales bacterium. Its description in RNAcentral is "tRNA-Phe". It matches the Rfam family "tRNA". Rfam says of the family: Transfer RNA (tRNA) molecules are approximately 80 nucleotides in length. Their secondary structure includes four short double-helical elements and three loops (D, anti-codon, and T loops). Lineage: Bacteria; Bacillati; Bacillota; Clostridia; Eubacteriales. The record is from RNAcentral.